This 254-nucleotide ribosomal RNA is filed under the name uncultured bacterium. RNAcentral's name for it is "partial 16S ribosomal RNA". It matches the Rfam family "Bacterial small subunit ribosomal RNA", at positions 524 to 776 of the family's 1533-position model. The record is from RNAcentral.
UACGUAGGGGGCAAGCGUUGUCCGGAUUUAUUGGGCGUAAAAGGCUUGUAGGUGGCCACGCCAAGUCGGAUGUGAAAUCUCCCGGCUCAACUGGGAGGGGUCAUUCGAUACUGGCGGGCUCGAGGCCGGUAGGGGGAAGUGGAAUUCCCGGUGUAGUGGUGGAAUGCGUAGAGAUCAUGAGGAAGACCAGUGGCGAAGGCGGGUCUCUGGACAGUUCCUGACGCUGAGGCACGAAGGUCAGGGGAGCAAACGGG